RNAcentral lists this long non-coding RNA (215 nucleotides) under Manihot esculenta (cassava). RNAcentral describes it as "long non-coding RNA (MESC_LNC007169)". The record is from RNAcentral. Lineage: Eukaryota; Viridiplantae; Streptophyta; Magnoliopsida; Malpighiales; Euphorbiaceae.
UUCGGCAGCCGAAGGCUGCUUCCACAAGCAUGUUCGGCGGCCGAAAGUUCCUUCGGCUGCCGAACCUGGUUUUUCCCUUAGUGGCAGAAACUCAGCUCUUCUAUGCAUAUACGCCUCCCUUUCCAUCCAAACAUGCAUAAACCUAUUCUACAACACACAUACACAAGCAUACAAGCUCCUAGGGGCUUCAAACUAUCUAAAACCCCAUCUACAAC